GGUAUGGAUGUCACGAGGGUAAAGAUAACUUAACACAAACAAACUGUUUACGUUUAAACUCCAUAAUGAGGACGUUUUAUGUGAUGUCCAGCCAUUUAUUGACACUGCCGACAAUGUUUGAAAAACCGAAAGGUUCUUCCAAGCUGUGUACGAAGAGGUGUUUGGCAGGAGUCAAAGGUCAUUUUGGUCCCAUCAACUGUGUGGCUUUCCACUCUGAAGACCAGAGCUACAGCAAUGGAGGAGAAGACGGACAUGUGAGGUUUCACUACUUAGAGCUGGAGGCCUAAAGUGUUAGGCUUGUGGACACAGCAGCUUGGACUGUCAGGUAGCGACUUUAUUUGAAGCAGAUCACGUGUUUGUGUCAUUCCACCUCCUCUGCUAUUGUCAUUUACAGUUCCAGCAGCGGAGAAGAUGGAUACGUGAGAUUUCACUACUUUGACCCACAGGCGGUGUGAAUCACUUGACUUGUGAGUGUUUUACUGAAUUGUGUAAUUCCAUUCAUUGUGCCUUAAUGCUAUAGUCACUUUUUGGCAACACAUUGCUCAUAGCCUUUGCACUUCUGGUUAUUCCAUUCCAUGUGCCUUACUGGUAUACUUCCUUAACAGGGUCACUUUUCUUUUUGCCUUAGCACUUAUUUCAUUGUGCCUUAUUGGUAUUGUGCUUUCAUCGUGAACUGUAUGUGACUGAAAUGACUGUUGUAAAUGUUCCAGAAUAAAGAAAAUGGUUUGGACCAUUGUGUGGCUUCAUUUCAAGAUAUUUGAGGAAAUAUGAAUGGAUUUUCUCAUUGCCUUUUAGGGCAUGCAUUGUCAAAGUCAAGGGUAUAGUUAAGGUAAAGGAAGUUUUUAUUUAUAGGUUUUUUAAAUUUUUUAUUUUUUUUUAAGUUUGAAGUGCACUAAGGAACUCCACCUGAUGGGGAACAUGUGGAUAUUUCUCAACAUAAAAAGGCUAGUUUUAACAAAGUGGAAAAAUUCUUUAGCUUGAUCAUUUACUGAAACUGCAAUCAAAUAUUCUUGGGGAAAAAAAAUAAAAAAUAACUCGCACUCACAGUAAAACAGACUUACUGGUAGUAGUAUUUGCCCUUUCCAGCCCCCAUGUCCUGUAAACAUUUUACAACACACUGUAAACGCUAUCCAAAAGUUUCAUUUCCGGUGACAAAAAAUAAAAAAAUGAAAUGAGUCCACCGGUCCAGUAGAUGGCGAUAUGGGUCUGCUGCUACACCUGGAGGGAUUUAAUUAAUCAAUUUCAUACAUGUUGAUUUACACAGGGAGGAUGUCAGCAUGUCAAUGUCUGUCAGUGCUUUCACUUCCAGCCUGUUCUCCUUGUACUGCAGCUGCCAUAAACAUGAUUGGAAUGCUGACACCGGAAAUGUCAGCUAACUGUGCUAAAUCUUUCAUGCCAAGGUUUAAAGCAAAAGAGCAUCUUAAGAGACACUUCAGGCACAUGUUAGACUGUCUGGAUGAUUGAGGACGCUGCCUGACCAGAGGCCAUAAAAACCCCUUCAGUGUAGGAGCCGGCACAUUAACUGCAAAACCAAGUUACCGUAAGACCUCUCUUGAGCCAAAGCAUCAACAAAACAUAAUACUAAACUACCAGAAAAAUAAAAAUGUUAGUCCCUCUUUGCUUUAAGCUAGACUCUCACUGGAUAUGUUUCUGGAUCAUCAAGAAGCUAAAUGGUUGGGGUCAGAGGUCAGGCAUGGAAGAGCAGUGUAGUUUUUGUAGUUUUGUACUACAACUCAAACUUCCACUACAACACCAUCCAGUCAGCUAGUUACUGUUAGAACCAGGGCAGUUUUCACCAUCAGUGAUACAUUGUAGCAUCAGUAUU
Long non-coding RNA from Cynoglossus semilaevis (tongue sole), 1825 nucleotides. RefSeq lists it as uncharacterized. NCBI's taxonomy places the organism in Eukaryota, Metazoa, Chordata, Actinopteri, Pleuronectiformes, Cynoglossidae. The transcript is spliced from 3 exons. The record is from RefSeq and is a predicted model, not a curated record.